CAGCACCUCAAGUGGUCAGGAUGAUUAUUGGGCCUAAAGCAUCCGUAGCCGGCGCUGUAAGUUUUCGGUUAAAUCUGUACGCUCAACGUACAGGCUGCCGGGAAUACUGCAGCGCUAGGGAGUGAGAGAGGUAGACGGUACUCGGUAGGAAGGGGUAAAAUCCUUUGAUCUAUUGAUGACCACCUGUGGCGAAGGCGGUCUACCAGAACACGUCCGACGGUGAGGGAUGAAAGCUGGGGGAACAAACCGGAUUAGAUACCCGCGUAGUCC
Molecule: ribosomal RNA, 270 nt
Filed under: uncultured archaeon
Lineage: Archaea
Description: partial 16S ribosomal RNA
Rfam family: Archaeal small subunit ribosomal RNA
Source: RNAcentral